This is a long non-coding RNA of Mesocricetus auratus (golden hamster), 1364 nucleotides long. RefSeq lists it as uncharacterized. Lineage: Eukaryota; Metazoa; Chordata; Mammalia; Rodentia; Cricetidae. The record is from RefSeq and is a predicted model, not a curated record. The transcript is spliced from 3 exons.
GGAAUGCCUAGAGGCAGUCGGUGCUUGAGGCAUUUAAUGUCUGGACCACCAGUGAUGCACUGAGGAGCGCGACACACCUUCCCCCGACAGUCCUACUCUGGGCCGCCUUCUGGCCUCCAUGGGACCAGGAGAAGCUCCGCCCACCGGAAUUAAAAUUACAUCCUGUCUGCUGGCUGGCACACCUUCCCAUGCCCCCCCCCCUCGGCACAGGGCUCCCACAUCACAAGGCACGCCAGGCGGAGGGAGUAAGUCAACAUUUGCUGACUGCACAGGGCAACCCUCCAAUUCCAGACACUUCCCCUUCCCCAGACAUGGCAGGUGGGGGGGGGGGGCAACCCCUUCCUGUUCCAAGGGAGAGAGAGCAUGGGCAGUUUUUGCCGCACCGGCAGUGUGUCUGAUCAGUAUCACCCAGCUUUCCCCAGGUCUGGCGUUGCCGGCACCGUCACGACACAUCAUCUGAGCCUAUCCGUCACCCGCCCUGCCUCGACACUGGCUAGCACCUGAACCGAAGUCUCCACUGACUCUCCAUUUAUGCUCAGAGUAAUUAUGAAAGCAGGAAUCUGACGGGAAAAAAGUGGUGGGUUGUCAACUUGAGGAAAAUGUGGCCAUGGGGGCUGGAGACAGGGGGAGGGGCCUCUAAGAGCCCUGGCUGCUCUUCCACAGGACUGUGAGUUCAGUUCCCAGCACCCACAAGGCGGCUCGUAACUCCCCGUGAUUCCAGAGGACCUGGCACCUUCACGGAGACUUACAUGCAGGCAAGACACGAACGCACAUGAAAUAAAAAUAAUGAAAACGAAACGAAAACAAAAACAACGUAGCUGUCUGCGGCGACCCACUGCUGUGUCAGGGAGCAGCAGCCCAUGGAUGAGAGUCCCAGGAGACAGACCUGCCGGAGCCACUCCGGAAGCCCUGGGUGCGUUAUCAGCCUGGACAAUAAAGCAAGAAGCCGUUAUUGGAACAGCUGUGGGUGGCCCGCGGGAGUGCGGGAGAAGGAAUUUCCACGAGAAGAGUCCUCCGGGGAAGAGGCAUCCUGGAAGGCAGCCAGCUUGAGCAGCGGCGGCAGGGCUGUGUGUGGGAGCGGCUAGCACAGACCAGCAGGGCAGCUUACACCGCCAUCAAGGAGUCUGUGGAGCCUUUAGGAGGAGGAGGAGCCUGGUGUCGCCAAUGGUGGGCCUCUGAGGGUUCUGUUUCCACCUGGUUCCAGUUCCUACACACGCGUGCCCCCCCCCCCCAGUUUCCUCCAUGGUGUGGGGACGUCUCUGCCAAGCACUGCGGCCGUCACGAAUACCGCCAUGCCUUCCGCAGUGUGACGGGAUGGAACCCUCUGAAACCUCGACCCCCCCCCAAUAAACCCUUCCUCCUUG